UCACCAGAGCCAAGAGGUAUAAUAGACUGAACAGAACCUUUUCCGAAAGUUUUUGUCCCAAUUACGGUGGCUCUUUUAUUAUCACCAAGAGCCCCGGCAAAUAUUUCAGAUGCCGAAGCCGAACCGCCAUUCGUUAUAAUGAUAAUUUCUGCUCCAUUUGUAAUAUCGCCCUUUUUUGCAAAAAAUCUUUGCUUUCUUGAUUGGUCCCUAGUUUUCGUGGAUACAAUCUCCCCUUUAUCCAAAAAUAAGUCUGUAACUUUGAUUGCUUGGUCGAGAAGACCACCUGGGUUAUUGCGA
RNAcentral lists this non-coding RNA (297 nucleotides) under marine eukaryotic metagenome. The record is from RNAcentral.